UGGGGAAUAUUGGACAAUGGGCGAAAGCCUGAUCCAGCCAUGCCGCGUGUGUGAAGAAGGUCUUCGGAUUGUAAAGCACUUUAAGUUGGGAGGAAGGGCAGUAAGUUAAUACCUUGCUGUUUUGACGUUACCGACAGAAUAAGCACCGGCUAACUCUGUGCCAGCAGCCGCGGUAAUACAGAGGGUGCAAGCGUUAAUCGGAAUUACUGGGCGUAAAGCGCGCGUAGGUGGUUUGUUAAGUUGUAUGUGAAAGCCCCGGGCUCAACCUGGGAACUGCAUCCAAAACUGGCAAGCUAGAGUACGGUAGAGGGUGGUGGAAUUUCCUGUGUAGCGGUGAAAUGCGUAGAUAUAGGAAGGAACACCAGUGGCGAAGGCGACCACCUGGACUGAUACUGACACUGAGGUGCGAAAGCGUGGGGAGCAAACA
This 427-nucleotide ribosomal RNA is filed under the name uncultured bacterium. RNAcentral's name for it is "partial 16S ribosomal RNA". It matches the Rfam family "Bacterial small subunit ribosomal RNA", at positions 355 to 774 of the family's 1533-position model. The record is from RNAcentral.